UCCCCUCCCGCUCCCGCACCCGCAUCCUCCGAAACCUUCCCUCACCCACGCCUCGUUCCUCUUUCUCUCUCCAUGAAAGAAGCAACGUACAGAGAGAUCGGUUGUGUCGUGCUUGGAUUGGAGGAUCCGAUUCCGCAGCGGCGGGGCGGAGGUGAGCUCUCUCCGAGCGAUCGGGGAUGGUCGGAUUCGCUUCCGCGCGAUUUAGGGCUUCGAUUUCGCGAAUCGGAGUAGUUCGAGCGCUCGAUCGGGAGAUCGGGCGCUUCUGUAUAUGCUCCGAUCGAUAGAAGCGCUUCGGAGGGCUCGGUUUCCUCGUCAUUGUGUGGAUUCCUGUUGAAAAUUCACGAAGCUUGACGCUGUGGAGAUGGUCUCCGCCGACGACCACCUCAAACGAGUCAUCGAUUCCGAUAUCGAUUGUGCGGUGCAAUCCGACAUUCGCAAUCAGGUAAACUCAUCACGAUCUUCUUACUCUAUUAAUUUGAUCUUCUAGUGCUCUAGCUUUCUUUUUCUUGAUCACAGUUAGGCAGUGGUCCCUUACCAUCUUCAGAACAGAUUAGGCAAAUUAAGUUAAAAAAAAAAGAAAAGAAAUUAGAUUCCGCUCAGUCGGUAUUGAUAGUGUGCCUUUACUGAUUUAAUUAGAUUGGAUUUGGUUGGAUCAGAUCAGGUUUUGUAAUUAGAUCAGGUUUUGUAACUAUGUUUUGUAUAUCUGUGAGUGGCUCAUCCUAUUUCAGUGUGCAGAUAAGAAAACAGUUAACAGGUUUUAAAUUUUGUCCUUUGGUAAUGAAGUUGUUAAAUGCUCCUCCAUUAAAUCCUAUAUUAGGUUCGGUUCAGCUCAA
Ananas comosus (pineapple) is the source of this 833-nucleotide long non-coding RNA. RefSeq lists it as uncharacterized. NCBI's taxonomy places the organism in Eukaryota, Viridiplantae, Streptophyta, Magnoliopsida, Poales, Bromeliaceae. The transcript is spliced from 2 exons. The record is from RefSeq and is a predicted model, not a curated record.